This 439-nucleotide ribosomal RNA is filed under the name uncultured bacterium. RNAcentral describes it as "partial 16S ribosomal RNA". It matches the Rfam family "Bacterial small subunit ribosomal RNA", at positions 339 to 795 of the family's 1533-position model. The record is from RNAcentral.
CUACGGGACGCUGCAGUGGCGAAUUUUGCGCAAUGGGGGAAACCCUGACGCAGCGAUACCGCGUGAGUGAAGAAGGCCUUUGGGUCGUAAAGCUCUUUUCUAAGGGAAGAUAGUGACGGUACCUUAGGAAUAAGCGCCGGCUAACUCCGUGCCAGCAGCCGCGGUAAUACGGAGGGCGCGAGCGUUGUUCGGAUUUACUGGGCGUAAAGGGCGCGUAGGCGGCCUGGCAAGUUAAGGGUGAAAUCCCGGGGCUUAACCCCGGAACUGCUCUUAAAACUGCCAAGCUAGAGAUGGCCAGAGGCGGGUGGAAUUCCAGGUGUAGAGGUGAAAUUCGUAGAUAUCUGGAGGAACACCGGUGGCGAAGGCGGCCCGCUGGGGCCAUUCUGACGCUGAGGCGCGAAAGCGUGGGGAGCGAACGGGAUUAGAUACCCUGGUAGUC